Molecule: ribosomal RNA, 806 nt
Filed under: Semisulcospira tegulata
Lineage: Eukaryota; Metazoa; Mollusca; Gastropoda; Semisulcospiridae
Description: partial 16S ribosomal RNA
Rfam family: Bacterial large subunit ribosomal RNA
Source: RNAcentral
UGUAAUAUUAAUUAUUACAUAUGCUUCUUUUUCUUAAUUUUUUUGAGGAUAAGCUCAGAAAAAAGUUAAGAUUUUUUUAGUUAAAAUUAUUAUGUGGGCUUAAAAUUGGCCACCAUAAAAGUUUGUUAUAAAAUAGUAAUCUUAAUUUAAAAAAUAAAUAUAUUUUAAUCUAAACCCCUACGGAGAUAAAAACUUUAAUUAAAGUAGGUUUUAUACCUAUGCUAGGAUGAGUAUUAUAAAUCUAAUUACAAAAGAAAUUUACCUGUAUUUUCUUCAAAAAAUCUUUUUUAAAAAAUUAAUUGAUUAGAAGGAACUCGGCAAGUUUAGUUGCUUCGCCUGUUUAUCAAAAACAUGGCUCUUUGCCUAUAUAAGUAUAAAGAGUCGAGCCUGCCCAGUGAGUUUUUCAACGGCCGCGGUACUCUGACCGUGCAAAGGUAGCAUAAUCAUUUGCCUUAUAAUUGAAGGCUAGUAUGAAUGGUUUGACGAGAGCAGCACUGUCUCCUUUUUAUUUUCAAGAACUUAACUUUUAGGUGAAGAGGCCUAAAUUUUAUUGAAGGACAAGAAGACCCUGUCGAGCUUAAAAGACGUUAUAGAGGCUUAAUAUACUUUUAAAUAAAUUUUCUGUUAAGCUUUUUAGUUGGGGCGACUAAGGAACAAAAAAAGCUUCUUUCUAAUAAUAAACAAUCACGUUUAGAUCCGAUAGUAGGCGAUUAAAGGAAUUAGUUACCGCAGGGAUAACAGCAUAAUCUCUCUUGAGAGACCUAAUCGAAAGAGAGGGUUGUGACCUCGAUGUUGGACUAGAAUAU